This 3008-nucleotide ribosomal RNA is filed under the name Salmonella enterica. RNAcentral describes it as "23S ribosomal RNA". It matches the Rfam family "Bacterial large subunit ribosomal RNA". Lineage: Bacteria; Pseudomonadati; Pseudomonadota; Gammaproteobacteria; Enterobacterales; Enterobacteriaceae. The record is from RNAcentral.
GGUUAAGCGACUAAGCGUACACGGUGGAUGCCCUGGCAGUCAGAGGCGAUGAAGGGCGUGCUAAUCUGCGAUAAGCGCCGGUAAGGUGAUAUGAACCGUUAUAACCGGCGAUACCCGAAUGGGGAAACCCAGUGUGACUCGUCACACUAUCAUUAACUGAAUCCAUAGGUUAAUGAGGCGAACCGGGGGAACUGAAACAUCUAAGUACCCCGAGGAAAAGAAAUCAACCGAGAUUCCCCCAGUAGCGGCGAGCGAACGGGGAGGAGCCCAGAGCCUGAAUCAGCAUGUGUGUUAGUGGAAGCGUCUGGAAAGGCGCGCGAUACAGGGUGACAGCCCCGUACACAAAAGCGCAUGUGCUGUGAGCUCGAUGAGUAGGGCGGGACACGUGGUAUCCUGUCUGAAUAUGGGGGGACCAUCCUCCAAGGCUAAAUACUCCUGACUGACCGAUAGUGAACCAGUACCGUGAGGGAAAGGCGAAAAGAACCCCGGCGAGGGGAGUGAAAAAGAACCUGAAACCGUGUACGUACAAGCAGUGGGAGCCCCACCACCAAAGCAUUCUCUGGUGUUGAAGGCCCUGCAAAGCAGCAUCGCGGUGGCGGAGCGUCGUUUGCGACGCCCAACACACAAAACAAGCGGUGAGUGCUUUGGGGUGGGGUGACUGCGUACCUUUUGUAUAAUGGGUCAGCGACUUAUAUUCUGUAGCAAGGUUAACCGUAUAGGGGAGCCGGAGGGAAACCGAGUCUUAAUUGGGCGUUAAGUUGCAGGGUAUAGACCCGAAACCCGGUGAUCUAGCCAUGGGCAGGUUGAAGGUUGGGUAACACUAACUGGAGGACCGAACCGACUAAUGUUGAAAAAUUAGCGGAUGACCUGUGGCUGGGGGUGAAAGGCCAAUCAAACCGGGAGAUAGCUGGUUCUCCCCGAAAGCUAUUUAGGUAGCGCCUCGUGAAUUCAUCUCCGGGGGUAGAGCACUGUUUCGGCUAGGGGGCCAUCCCGGCUUACCAACCCGAUGCAAACUGCGAAUACCGGAGAAUGUUAUCACGGGAGACACACGGCGGGUGCUAACGUCCGUCGUGAAGAGGGAAACAACCCAGACCGCCAGCUAAGGUCCCAAAGUCAUGGUUAAGUGGGAAACGAUGUGGGAAGGCCCAGACAGCCAGGAUGUUGGCUUAGAAGCAGCCAUCAUUUAAAGAAAGCGUAAUAGCUCACUGGUCGAGUCGGCCUGCGCGGAAGAUGUAACGGGGCUAAACCAUGCACCGAAGCUGCGGCAGCGACACUCAGGUGUUGUUGGGUAGGGGAGCGUUCUGUAAGCCUGCGAAGGUGGCCUGUGAGGGUUGCUGGAGGUAUCAGAAGUGCGAAUGCUGACAUAAGUAACGAUAAAGCGGGUGAAAAGCCCGCUCGCCGGAAGACCAAGGGUUCCUGUCCAACGUUAAUCGGGGCAGGGUGAGUCGACCCCUAAGGCGAGGCCGAAAGGCGUAGUCGAUGGGAAACGGGUUAAUAUUCCCGUACUUGGUGUUACUGCGAAGGGGGGACGGAGAAGGCUAUGUUGGCCGGGCGACGGUUGUCCCGGUUUAAGCGUGUAGGUGUGUGUUCCAGGUAAAUCCGGUUCACUUUAACACUGAGGCGUGAUGACGAGGCACUACGGUGCUGAAGCAACAAAUGCCCUGCUUCCAGGAAAAGCCUCUAAGCAUCAGGUAACAUCAAAUCGUACCCCAAACCGACACAGGUGGUCAGGUAGAGAAUACCAAGGCGCUUGAGAGAACUCGGGUGAAGGAACUAGGCAAAAUGGUGCCGUAACUUCGGGAGAAGGCACGCUGACACGUAGGUGAAGUGAUUUACUCAUGGAGCUGAAGUCAGUCGAAGAUACCAGCUGGCUGCAACUGUUUAUUAAAAACACAGCACUGUGCAAACACGAAAGUGGACGUAUACGGUGUGACGCCUGCCCGGUGCCGGAAGGUUAAUUGAUGGGGUCAGCGCAAGCGAAGCUCCUGAUCGAAGCCCCGGUAAACGGCGGCCGUAACUAUAACGGUCCUAAGGUAGCGAAAUUCCUUGUCGGGUAAGUUCCGACCUGCACGAAUGGCGUAAUGAUGGCCAGGCUGUCUCCACCCGAGACUCAGUGAAAUUGAACUCGCUGUGAAGAUGCAGUGUACCCGCGGCAAGACGGAAAGACCCCGUGAACCUUUACUAUAGCUUGACACUGAACAUUGAGCCUUGAUGUGUAGGAUAGGUGGGAGGCUUUGAAGUGUGGACGCCAGUCUGCAUGGAGCCGACCUUGAAAUACCACCCUUUAAUGUUUGAUGUUCUAACGUGGACCCGUGAUCCGGGUUGCGGACAGUGUCUGGUGGGUAGUUUGACUGGGGCGGUCUCCUCCUAAAGAGUAACGGAGGAGCACGAAGGUUGGCUAAUCCUGGUCGGACAUCAGGAGGUUAGUGCAAUGGCAUAAGCCAGCUUGACUGCGAGCGUGACGGCGCGAGCAGGUGCGAAAGCAGGUCAUAGUGAUCCGGUGGUUCUGAAUGGAAGGGCCAUCGCUCAACGGAUAAAAGGUACUCCGGGGAUAACAGGCUGAUACCGCCCAAGAGUUCAUAUCGACGGCGGUGUUUGGCACCUCGAUGUCGGCUCAUCACAUCCUGGGGCUGAAGUAGGUCCCAAGGGUAUGGCUGUUCGCCAUUUAAAGUGGUACGCGAGCUGGGUUUAGAACGUCGUGAGACAGUUCGGUCCCUAUCUGCCGUGGGCGCUGGAGAACUGAGGGGGGCUGCUCCUAGUACGAGAGGACCGGAGUGGACGCAUCACUGGUGUUCGGGUUGUCAUGCCAAUGGCACUGCCCGGUAGCUAAAUGCGGAAGAGAUAAGUGCUGAAAGCAUCUAAGCACGAAACUUGCCCCGAGAUGAGUUCUCCCUGAGACUUAGAGUCUCCUGAAGGAACGUUGAAGACGACGACGUUGAUAGGCCGGGUGUGUAAGCGCAGCGAUGCGUUGAGCUAACCGGUACUAAUGAACCGUGAGGCUUAACCUU